This 9633-nucleotide long non-coding RNA is filed under the name Nicotiana tabacum (common tobacco). Its description in RNAcentral is "long non-coding RNA (NTAB_LNC012027)". The record is from RNAcentral. Lineage: Eukaryota; Viridiplantae; Streptophyta; Magnoliopsida; Solanales; Solanaceae.
AAGGUUAACUACUUUGUUGAGAGUAACUAAUGUCAUCAAAUAUCCAUAAUACAAAAUAAUAGUUAGUCUAUAACAUUUCUCUAACUCUUGAUCAUAAAGAAGUCUCCCACAUAUUAAAUCUCUUAGUAUCAUAGCAUAUGACAUGAAAUGAUAAAAUAAAGUGAGUAAAAUCUCGUUCAUCAAAGUUAAAGCAAACAAAGAAAACGAAAAAAGUUAGUAGGCAAGAAAAAUGGAGUUUUAGUUUUACAGCAAGCAAAUGUAUACCAUUUGAAAACACCUAAUAAUGUAUUGAAAUCUCUUGCUUGUUUCCAGUCUUGCAUCUGAAGAACAAAGUUUCAAAAAUUUAUCAAAUGGAUUAAUAUCAGGACAACGACACUUCAAAAUCAAAGAACAGAGUAUCAUUUACUAAAAUAAGGAACCAAGCGUGCGGCCACGACUAGUUUAUCUCUCUAGAGAAGUGUUUAGUCCCAGUAAUAAAUUUGAGCCCUGGUAUUGAUUAAUUAAAGCCAAGGAUUUAGUUGCAGCUAUUUUAGGGAGAAGAUUUCUAUUUGGACAUAACUAUCAUACCCAUUGGGACCAAUAGAUCAAAUUACAAUUCGUUGUCCAUAAGAUAAAAAUGAGAAGAUUAUUGGUGAAUGUGAAGAACUAACUUUUCUUUACAAAAAUUUAGAAACAGAGACCAUGUAUAUCUAAGAUUAAAACGCACAUCUUAAAUUCUCAUUAAGACAUCACUAUGGAACCAUCUGUUCAACAUACUCAAUAGCUUUAUAACAGAUUAAUAUUAGCUCUACAACGACUAUAAUGGAUCCAAAAAUGUAGUCACUCACUCUAAGAGUUCUUAAUUUACCACCUUCGCCAAACACACGAAAACAAGAAAACAUCACAACUACAAAUAAGCUAAAACAAGAAAAUAUAACGAAAUAUAUUUUUCUUGUAAGUGAAAAUAUAAAGAAACUCUCUCUACCUUCAUUGCUUCAGUGAGUUUCCUAUCUUCCUCGUCUUAUCCAUUUUUUCACCUCCAGAAUUUUCAAAAGGUUCAUUCUAUCUUAGUUCAAUGAUAAUUUGUUGAUAUAAUUUAUCACUUUUUUUAAGUAAAUAUACUACUAGGUUAUUCACCUAGUAGCUGUUAUAUAUAAUAAAUCCGAAAUUGGGUAAAAGUUACACAGUGUUCUAUUGAACUACAAGCAAUACGACAAAGAAAGCUAAUGGCUAUUGCUACCAAAAAUAAUGUAGCUUUAGCGAAAUGAAAAAUGGAAAGCAAAAAGCUAGAAAUUUGAAACGUCCAAUUGUUGCUGACGACAAUCAAUUCACACACCAGUUGCAAAUAAAUUCAUGUAGUAAAGCAAAGUUCGGACAUCUUCGCUUUGGGGCUGAAUAACUGAAAUCCCAACUGCAAUGGUCGUGGAGAGAACUGAAGUAUGAGGUAUUUUUGAUUGAGACAUUGUUUGUAGUGGCUUAUUCCCCUUAACCAAACAGUUAAAACAAACAGCCGAACACUAAGCAAGCCAAACAUUUCCUUUCCAGUAGUAGUCACAUGCACACUGCUAGAGGUCGCGUUGAAGUCUUUGUUGUUUCCAGUGUAUUGAUGUGUCCCAAUUUUUUACACCUGUUGUAUUUCGGAAGAUUCUUUGUUGUAGAAUUGUUGUUGUAAGUUGUUGUACAACCCCCAGAAUGAGCAUGGUAAGAUGCUAAUACAACAGGGAAGUUGAACGACAACAAACAUACAGCAAUUAGCUUCAAAAUCAUACCUGCGACAAUAAUGUGUUGUGGUGUUGUUACCUUUGUAGUAGAAGUGUUGCAGUUGUAAUGUCAAUGAACAAUUAUGUAUUAGUGCUGCUGAAAUCAAAAAACACUGGAGGUUCCCAUUGCUGUAUUUCUUUGCUCCAAUUGAAACUGGUACAGGGCUUUGUAAUUCGUCACAGCUGUUGGUGUUUGAGAAAAGCACUAUCUGCAAAUGCCUCAACAAUCGGAGCUUAUCUCUGCAACCCGCAAAAUCUGUUGUUUGUGCGUAGAUCCUAAAAAGUGUAGCAUGUUGGGUAAUGAGCACAUAUUUGUUAGAAUUGACAGCCACUUUGUCACUAUCCAUUUGCAUAAUUUCCUUCUGAAAAUAUGCCAUCCAUCGUGAGUCCAUGCUUGUGCUUACCACUUAUACGCCCUCAAGGGAAUGAGCAAUGGGUGAUAAUACUACCCAUUGAGCUUGUAUCAAAUAGUUAAGCAUGGAUACAAUAGCAUCCCUUGCAAAAAAAAAAUACAUCGUUAGGAAAAACAAUGACCCUCAUGAUCUUCUCCCAAAGGAUUUGAUCAUGUUGAUCUAGGCUGUUAGUUCCAAUAACUUUCCUCCCCUUUGUGCUCCUCUCAUCCUCUUCUCCUAAGUUACUGCAACUCAUAUUCUUAAGUAAGGACAUUAGGAUUUAUCAUCAUUCACAAUCCUCCUUUCUUGAAUAUCCAAAUCACCAAAGCAGUUGCAAUAACUAGGGCCAACAUCAAGUGCAAGAUUUGCAAGGUGCUCUGCCAGUUUAUUGCCUUCUCUAAGAGUAUGGGAUAGUGUAAUCUUGCAUCUUGCUAUUAGCUGUUUAAUCUCCUCCAUUAUCCUGCCACAGACCAAGAAACAGAUCAUUCGCCUUCAACUGCCUUCAACAUUAUCAUAGAGUCAGUGUGUAAAUCAAUAAGGACGAAAUUACGUUCAACACAUUAUCUGAGAGCCUCAACCAUGGCCUUAGCUUCUGCUUUAUUUUUUGUUCCCUAUGGAAUUUCUUCAUCACACGCAUACACCACAUCACCCUCUGCAUUCCUCAAUACAAAUCCAAUAUAACAUCUCCCUGGGUUGCCCCUACAAGCCCCAUUAGUGUUCACUUUAAUCCAUCCUGUUGUAGGAUACUCCCAUACCACCUUAGUUAUCUUCAGUUUAGGAAGAUAUUGCUCCAUCAUUGUGAGUAAAUCUGGUCAUUUAUAUGGUACAUGAAUGAGUCUAGGCUUCCUGAAUUUGACCAGUGAUUGAAGUGUAGAAGAUACCUGAUAGAUCACCCUACUCACUAUUACUGAAUCACCAUGUUUGAAGUUGUUCCUUCUCUUCCAUAACUCCCAUACAAUAAUGGUUGUUAUUUCUUGAAUUAUAGGCUGCAAUCUUGGUAUCACCUUAGCAGUCCAGCACUUGAUUAUGAUUUGGUGAAAUGUGAGUCCAUCAAUCACAAUUCCUGCAGAAGACAGGAAAUAUGGCCACACUCUUCUCGCAACAUAGGACGUGAAAAACAAGUGAUGCAUGGUUUCCUCCAUCGGAUUAGUACAACACCAACACCUAGAAGCCAUCAAGUAACACAACCUUCUCAUUAAAUCAUCUAAUGGUAGUUUAUUCCUCCAUACUUUCCACAUGAAAAAGUGUAUUUUGAAUGGUAGACCUUUCGCCCAAAUCUUUAUAUAAGCAUUGAAUGGCUCAUUUCUCCUCCUCACAUAAUCCCAAGCUGAUUUUGCACUAAACUCUCCCGUAGGCUCCAAAGUCCAGUAUGGCAGAUCCAGUACAUCUUGUAUCACUGGUGGUUUACAAUAUUUCAGUAUGUGAUUUGCAAAUUCCUCCGACAGGAUUUGUCAGAGAAUAUUUUCAUCCCACUGCCCAUCAUGCACCACAUCACACACAUUGUGGAUUGUUUCAUCACAGAAAAAAUUUGGGAGAGUGAUAAAAUAUAAAGCCCCCAAAUCUAUCCAGUUUUCAAACUAGAACAGAGAAGAUCCCAUCUUUGUAUGCCAUACAAUAUGAUGUUCAAUUAACUCACUGCAUUCUAGCAUUUUUCUCCAUACAUGAGAUCCCUUCCUCCAUGGCACCACCAUAGGAUUAAUCUUUUUGUAAUAUUUUUGGAUGAUAAAUGAACUCCAUAGACUAGGUUUAGUUCUAGAGUUCCACCAUAAUUUGCAAAACAUAGCCUUUGAAACAUCAUGGAGUGACCUAAAUCCUACUCCCCCUUUCUCACAUGGCAUACAGAAUGUACUCCACGAUGCCCAAUGUCUGCUCGAACCACCAACAGAAUUACACCAAAAGAAUUGAGCAAAUAUCUUGUGUAAUUUAUUAAUCACAUAUGCAGGAGGAUUUACUGCAGAAAGAAGAUGGAUUCGCAUACUCUGCAAGACAUGAGAGAUCAAGACAACCCUUCCUCCAAUGGAUAACAGUUUGUCUUUCCAUGCCUGCAGUUUGUCUAACACCUUGUUGCGCAGCCCUUGGUAGUAAUCCAUCCUUCUUCUGGAAUAGAAAAUUGGGCAGCCAAGGUAUGUAAAUGGGAAAUCCUGCUUGGAUAUCCUAGUGAUCCUUUCGACUUUGUUCACCACCUAUGCACUGGCUGAAUGAUGCAUAUAUAUGGCAGACUUGUUUUUGUUAAUCAACUGCCUGAAGUAGUUUCAUAAGCAUCCAAGACUUCUAUCACAAAUUGCAAUGAUGUAGCAUCAGAGGAUGAGAAAAUGAUCGUAUUAUCAGCAUAAACUAGAUGGUUAAUCUUAGGGAUCCACUUAGGCAAUCCAAAGCCACAAAAGUAAAGGUUCAUAUUUAGUGCAUUGAGUCCCCUCGAUAGUGCCUCGGCAGCAAGAAUGAAUAGAGUUGGUGAUAAAGGAUCACCCUACUUUACACCUCUUGUCGACUUGAAGAAUCCAUAUGGUUAUCCAUUAAGCAGUACAGAAUAUAAAUUAUUAUCUACAAUGCCAAAGAUCAUGCCAAUAAACCUUUCCUCAAAUCCCAUCUUCCUCAGAACCUUAGUUAAGAACAGCCAAGAUAGCGUAUCAUAGGCUUUUCUCAUAUCUAGUUUGAUCACAACGUUUGGGCCAGCCUUAGUUCGCAACCUUAUAUUAGUAAUUAUUUCUUGUGAGAACAGAACAUUUUUAACUAUGCUCCCACCCUUCACAAAUCCUACCUGCUCAUUUGAUAUAAGAUUAGGAAGAUAUCCUACUAGGCUCUCAUGAAUAACUCUUGAGAAAACCUUAUUGAUAAAGUUGAUGAGUCUAAUAGGUCGCAUGUCUGAGUAUGAGAUCAUUGCUUUCUUCUUUGGUAACAAUACCAGAUUCGUGUGAGUUAUGAACCUGGGCAGUUCCUGGCAAUUGAAGAAAGCCUUCACAAUUUCCACAAUAUCAUCCCCUACUAUAUCCUAACAUACAUGAAAGAAGCAUCCUCUAAAACCAUCAUGCCCUCCUGCACUUUCACCAUUAAGCCCAUAGACAACAUGUUUUACCUCCUCAAAUGUAGGUUGUUUCACCAAUUCCUGAUUAUGCUUGUAAUCUACCAUUGCUGGUAUAUGAUCUAUGAUGUCAAAAUUCGAGGGGACUUGUUCUUCAUGAAAUUGUGCCUUGAAGAACUUGACUGCCUCAUCAGCCAUAACUUCAUUAUCUUCUACCCAAUUUCCAUCACUGUUUUGUAUUCUUUUAAGUUGUAGUCUUUUCCUUCUUCCAUUCACUUGUGCAUUGAAAAACUUGGUGUUUCUAUCUCCAUCUUGAAACCAAGACAUUCCUGCUUUUUAUUUCCAAAACUCCUCCUCCAAAGUAAAAUAUCUGAUCAAAUCUGCUUGUACUUUAUGCAGCCUAGCUCUAUUUUGUUGUGUUGGAUUCUGUUCGAAUUGAGCUUCGUGAACUAAUACCACCUCCUCUAAGCUUACAAUCUUCUGAAAAAUAUCACCAUAUGUAGCUUUGCUCCACAAAGUUAAAGCUCUCUUUCGCUUCUUCAGUUUGUGAUUAAAUACAAUGAAUGGAUUUGCAGUAAAGUCAGCACUCCAGUUCUCUUAAACAACUUCUUUAAAAGUUGGAUGUUUGGUCCAGAUAUUUAAGAACCCGAAUGCUUUCUUGAUUGGCACGGCAGUGGAUUACAUGUCAGCAAUAUAGGAGAGUGAUCUGAUCCUAUUUUUGAUAGAUGAGUGAUCUCCAAUCCAGGCAGCAUUUGUUGGAAUUCAAUGUUAGCCAAGCAUCUAUCUAAUCAUUUAAAAAUACAAUCGUCCUCUGCUCUGCCAUUCUACCAAGUAUAAAUGCUCCCUCUGAAUCCUAGAGCAACUAAAUUACAUGUGUUGAUACAAUGCCUGAAAUCAUUGACUUCAUUCAGUGAGACUGGCAGCCCACCAAAUGUUUCUUCUUCAUCCCAUAUGACAUUAAAGUCUCCAGCUACCAUCCAUGGAAAAGUCAUAUCUCCAACCAUAGCAUAUAAGGUAUCCCAUAAUUCAAUCCUUUCUAUCGAGUCACAUUUUGCAUAAACCAGCGUGACAAUAAAGCUAUUUUGGGUGUCCACAUUGGUCAGUUUCAUUGUUUGUUGUUGUUCCAAAUCAAACAGUAUAUCUACCAUGUGAUCCUCAUCUACAAAAGCCCAUAUAUUGUUAUUGACAUUAGCAAAAGCUUGUGCUAGACCAAUCCUUCAUAUUGAAAAUGAUGCUGCCUAUUCAUAUUGACAAGCCUUUCAAAAGCUUUUUUUAGUAUUAACCGACCUCACGUUCCAUAUGAUUGCAUUCAUAUUUAAAUAUGAGAUUUAGUGUGAGCCCUUCUUGUUUGAACCCCUCCAUUUUGCACAGUUGAGGACUCCUUUUGCUGGUUUUUCUUUCCACAACUAGCUGAUUUCCCUUUCUCCAUUACUCUUGGAGAUAAAUUUCCUUGCUUGGCUAUGUUGAGGAAGUUUUGUGCUAUAGACUCGUCAUCAAGAUCCUUCACAGUUCUACCUAAAUUCUCCACUGCUUCCUUGGUAUUUACUUAAGUGUCAAGGUCAGAUGUCACAAGUUUAGGAAUUAGAGUUCCACCUCCUUUUUCCUUCAUACUAUAUUGUGGGAUUUCAGAGCUUAACAACAGAGCAUGCUGGACCUUAUUUCCUGUCAAUCUCACCUCAUCAUUUUCAGGGAUAAUUGCAGCAUUGUUCGUAUCAUCUACCUCAUUCCUCACCAUUGUUGCAUCUCCCUUAGUUCCUCCUGGAUCUACUGCAUCCACCUGAUCAACUGAAGGGACAAUAUUCUCUGAUAUCUGGUUGGUGUUCUGCACCACCUUAGAAUCUGACUGUGCCUUUGCAAUGCUACCUUCAUCACCCUGAUUUUCUUCCUCCACCUCUUCUUUAGUAGAUAAGUCAUCUUCCUCCAUUGCAUCUGGUAUUCCCCCUUCUUCAGAAUCCUGCUCUAUCUGAUCACUCCACAAUUGCCCUCCACUUAGUUGUAGUUUCUCCUUUUCUAUAGGUGCUUCAAUUGACUUUGCUGUAGAAAUAGUUUGUGUAGGAAUUUCCUGACAAGAUAGAUUAUAAUUAUCUAAGUUGCCACCUCAAAAAGUCCUGUUUACCCAUUGAGAAGUCGACUCCUUUUGCAGCAGAGAAACACUCCCAAUCCCUUUGUCAUUAGGAUUAAAAACAUGAGUCUUAGGAAUUAAUUUUUAGCUGAUUUUGGAGUACCAUUCCUAGUGACACUAGGAGAUACAUUAGGACUGCGAUCAACAUUACUGUCUUCUACCAAGACCAGCUGAUUGUUAUUUUCCUUCUCACCUUCUUCAACCUCAAGAACAGCAAAUUUAUUGGUUACAUGGACCUGCUGGUUUCCCACAGCUUCCUUCUCAACUGGCACUAUUUCCUUCCCAGUUUUAGCUUUAAUUUCCUCUUGCUGGACAGUUUUCUUCACACAAUUAUCUCGCGCUUCUUUCCAUUGUUCUCCAAUAUUACCUACAACCUUUCCACUAGUAUGAAUCAUUAAAGGACCUUUUUAUUUAUUAUUGUCUGCCACAUUAACAUUGGUAUCCUGUUUUUCAUUGUCUUUGUGCUCUAUUAAUUCUGGAUGUAGCCUCCAAUAUUUGAUCAUAUCAUGGCCUUGCAACUUACACUCUUUGCAAUAUUUGGGCAUGAAAUCAUAUUGAAUUUUAACCCAUUCAGUUCUUACCUCUCCUGUAGCUUCAUUCUCUAUAUCCAUUCGAACCUUCUUCGGCAAAUCUGCUAAUAGAUCAACAUGAAUCUUAACUCGAGCACAACUAGGCCUUGUUUUAUUUAUAGUUUCCAUGUCGAGAUGCGGUGGCUUUCCAACAGCUGAAGCUAAAGAAAAUAAGCACUCCUUAACAAAAUACGUAGGCAACAAGUUUGGGAAUAAAAUCCAAGCCAUAGCCAUUGGCGUUUCUUCUCCGGCCUUGAACUUUGCAUCAUAAAUAAGCUGCCUCAUCUAAUAUUCAUACCCAUCCUUCGCUUUAACAUAAUAGGUACUUUUGGACAUAAUCUUAAUGUAAUCUACCCAUAAUGUCAAACGAAUCAACAUAUGCUUAUCUCUUAAGAAACCAAUAUUACAAUCUCCUUUGAUACCACAUUGGAUUGGAAUAAUUCAACGUAAUUCUUGGACUUCUGGCCAUCCAUAAGAGAACUUAGCUACAACUGCAUAUUGCAAGCCUUCUAUUACAUUCAUGUGAUCCACUUCUGACUCUGUGAACUUCACAAAUGGUUGUCCAUGUAAGAAUGUAGCACGUUUGAAUGGGAUUGGUUCGACAGAACUCGCCUUCACGUGCACGGAGUUAUUAAUAGUGGCUGGUUUCAGAACUUUGCUAUAAUUUAAAGGCUGGGAACAGUUAUUUGUGAUAGUAGGUGAUAGGGAGAGGGUGGGAGGAGGCUGACCAGCCGAAAAACAUGGCUGGCCGCCGGCCAGAAUGGCCAUAGACGAGCUCGCGAGGCAGAAGCCGAUGUCUUCUCCUUUUCGCCUGUCGUAGGGUUACUGUUGUGGCACUCGAAGGGAUUAUUCCUGAGCAUAUAUAAUUUAUCACUUCAAAUUUCCGUUUAACCUUUAUUUCUUUGAAUAAUAUUUCAUGUUCAAAUAAAAAAUAUUAAUGAUGAAUAACAACACAAUUUAGUAGCCUGAUUUAGCCCAAAGAUACUUGUGUUGUUCUUCGCAAUUUAAUACGUGAAACGACUCCAAUCUAACUCAUAAACAAAAGAAUUAAAAAUGUUUAUAAGAAAAAGGAUUCAAAGAUUUAAAGAAUUACUUGUAAAAUCUCAUAUCCACUAAUCACUAUUGCUCAAGUGACAUACCUUUGUUAUGACAUUUUAUCGAACACCAAAUACGAUUCUUAAAUUUUUCCCCCAAGAGCAUACACUGCAAGUAAAAUUAGUGUAAGCAAACGACUCACAAACUUAAAUAAUUACAAAAUGAUACAAAGUAAUCACCAAACAAAAAAUUCAACAUAUAUAAAGAAUGAGCAUAAUUUAAUUAAGGGACGACGAUUUUAUAUACAGAUGUAUGCAAGUCGAAGGGGUUGAGGAAAUUAGAUACACAUUCAUUUGCAAAAUGAAAUUAAAAGAAUGUAAAAAAGAGACAUACUUUGAUCUUUGUACAAAAAAAAUCUUCUCCUAAAUUAACAUUCAGUCAGCCAGUUACGACCUUCAAACUAGAGUUUAUUCAAAUACCUCUAUCUUCAAAUUCAUGGAAUAUUGAAAGAUUAAUCCUUGGUAUCUUUGAAUUGACGAGAUUGUCUCUUUCGAAUGGAUAGAUCAAGCGAGAAAACUAUUAGAAAAUUGAUUACUCCUAGUAUGUAAAGAUAGAAGCCCUAGGCGGGAUGAGUUAGAGAAAGAGAGAGGGAAAUGAAAUUAUAGAAUUUUCUUUUGGAGGGAGGAUAAAAGUAAAAGUUUGGUUCUUUUGCUGGCCAUUUUAUCUAUAUUGCCCCAAAAAACUAUUUUUUACUGGC